UGGGGAAUCUUGCGCAAUGCGCGAAAGCGUGACGCAGCAACGCCGCGUGAGGGAAGAAGGCCUUCGGGUUGUAAACCUCUUUCAGGAGGGACGAAGGUUCAGGCGCGAAUAGCGUCCUGGACUGACGGUACCUCCAGAAGAAGCCCCGGCUAACUACGUGCCAGCAGCCGCGGUAAUACGUAGGGGGCUAGCGUUGUCCGGAAUCAUUGGGCGUAAAGCGCGCGUAGGCGGCCCGGUAAGUCCGCUGUGAAAGUCAAAGGCUCAACCUUUGAAUGUCAGCGGAUACUGCCGGGCUAGAGUCCGGAAGAGGCGAGUGGAAUUCCUGGUGUAGCGGUGGAAUGCGCAGAUAUCAGGAGGAACACCAACGGCGAAGGCAGCUCGCUGGGACGGUACUGACGCUGAGGCGCGAAAGCGUGGGGAGCGAACAGGAUUAGAUACCCUGGUAGUCCACGCCGUAAACGAUGGGCACUAGGUGUGGGAGGUGUCGACUCCUCCCGUGCCGGCGCUAACGCAUUAA
Molecule: ribosomal RNA, 517 nt
Filed under: uncultured bacterium
Lineage: Bacteria
Description: bacterial SSU rRNA
Rfam family: Bacterial small subunit ribosomal RNA
Source: RNAcentral